GACAGAGGAUGCAAGCGUUAUCCGGAAUGAUUGGGCGUAAAGCGUCUGUAGGUGGCUUUUUAAGUCUGCCGUCAAAUCCCAGGGCUUAACCCUGGACAGGCGGUGGAAACUACCAAGCUGGAGUACGGUAGGGGCAGGGGGAAUUUCCGGUGGAGCGGUGAAAUGCGUAGAGAUCGGAAAGAACACCAACGGCGAAAGCACUCUGCUGGGCCGGCACUGACACUGAGAGACGAAAGCUAGGGGAGCGAAUGGG
This 253-nucleotide ribosomal RNA is filed under the name uncultured bacterium. RNAcentral describes it as "partial 16S ribosomal RNA". It matches the Rfam family "Bacterial small subunit ribosomal RNA", at positions 524 to 776 of the family's 1533-position model. The record is from RNAcentral.